Molecule: ribosomal RNA, 428 nt
Filed under: Chloroflexota bacterium
Lineage: Bacteria; Bacillati; Chloroflexota
Description: Chloroflexi bacterium partial 16S ribosomal RNA
Rfam family: Bacterial small subunit ribosomal RNA
Source: RNAcentral
UAGGGAAUCUUCGGCAAUGGACGAAAGUCUGACCGAGCAACGCCGCGUGAGUGAAGAAGGUUUUCGGAUCGUAAAACUCUGUUGUUAGAGAAGAACAAGGACGUUAGUAACUGAACGUCCCCUGACGGUACCUAACAGAAAGCCACGGCUAACUACGUGCCAGCAGCCGCGGUAAUACGUAGGUGGCAAGCGUUGUCCGGAUUUAUUGGGCGUAAAGCGCACGCAGGCGGUUUGUUAAGUCAGAUGUGAAAUCCUCGGGCUCAACCUGGGAACUGCAUCUGAUACUGGCAAGCUUGAGUCUCGUAGAGGGGGGUAGAAUUCCAGGUGUAGCGGUGAAAUGCGUAGAGAUCUGGAGGAAUACCGGUGGCGAAGGCGGCCCCCUGGACGAAGACUGACGCUCAGGUGCGAAAGCGUGGGGAGCAAACAGG